RNAcentral lists this ribosomal RNA (700 nucleotides) under Paenarthrobacter sp. RNAcentral's name for it is "bacterial SSU rRNA". It matches the Rfam family "Bacterial small subunit ribosomal RNA", at positions 55 to 772 of the family's 1533-position model. Lineage: Bacteria; Bacillati; Actinomycetota; Actinomycetes; Micrococcales; Micrococcaceae. The record is from RNAcentral.
AUGCAGUCGAACGAUGAUCCCAGCUUGCUGGGGGAUUAGUGGCGAACGGGUGAGUAACACGUGAGUAACCUGCCCUUGACUCUGGGAUAAGCCUGGGAAACUGGGUCUAAUACCGGAUACGACCAUUCCACGCAUGUGGUGGUGGUGGAAAGCUUUUGUGGUUUUGGAUGGACUCGCGGCCUAUCAGCUUGUUGGUGGGGUAAUGGCCUACCAAGGCGACGACGGGUAGCCGGCCUGAGAGGGUGACCGGCCACACUGGGACUGAGACACGGCCCAGACUCCUACGGGAGGCAGCAGUGGGGAAUAUUGCACAAUGGGCGCAAGCCUGAUGCAGCGACGCCGCGUGAGGGAUGACGGCCUUCGGGUUGUAAACCUCUUUCAGUAGGGAAGAAGCGUAAGUGACGGUACCUGCAGAAGAAGCGCCGGCUAACUACGUGCCAGCAGCCGCGGUAAUACGUAGGGCGCAAGCGUUAUCCGGAAUUAUUGGGCGUAAAGAGCUCGUAGGCGGUUUGUCGCGUCUGCUGUGAAAGACCGGGGCUCAACUCCGGUUCUGCAGUGGGUACGGGCAGACUAGAGUGCAGUAGGGAGACUGGAAUUCCUGGUGUAGCGGUGAAAUGCGCAGAUAUCAGGAGGAACACCGAUGGCGAAGGCAGGUCUCUGGGGCUGUAACUGACGCUGAGAGCGAAAGCAUGGGAGCGAA